This is a long non-coding RNA of Triticum dicoccoides, 2399 nucleotides long. RefSeq lists it as uncharacterized. The record is from RefSeq and is a predicted model, not a curated record. NCBI's taxonomy places the organism in Eukaryota, Viridiplantae, Streptophyta, Magnoliopsida, Poales, Poaceae. The transcript is spliced from 4 exons.
CCGCCUUCCUCGCGGAGUCUGCGGCCGAAGGAUCGGUUGGGACGCACCGUGUCUAGGUCGGCCUUCGGUGGGGCGCGGUGCGAGCUCUCGGCUCGGGGCAGGAGGCGACUCGAUGACGAGGAGCUGGGGCGCGGCGCUCCUCUCCUGGUGUGGCGCACGAGGGAAGGAGGAGGGGAUCGAUCCAAGACGGGAGCUGAGGCCGGCGGCGCCCUUCACACAAGCCUCACCGGCGGUUCCCUGUACACAAGCCUCACCGGCGAUGCAGCGGGAGAGCUCCGACCCGUCCAUAGGUGCGGGGAUGCAGAUCCGCGUCGCCAGCCUGUACUAGGCCGAGGUUGACGCGCCGGCGCAGGGGUCACCGUCCAUCUUCGCCAGGCCUCCAGAGUACUCCAGCAACAGCCACUGGACGCCAGGUAAGCAUGCAUUGUAUGACCUUAGCUAAUUGCGUACAUACAAGUUUGGAUGAAUUCCAAGAGAUGGAGCACUCUAUCCAAAUAGGAGAAGUGUUAGUGAGUACAAUUUCACAAUGGUUUCAUGGGGAGCAAAAUAAUCACCUGCGGCAAAUUUAGGUUCUAGAAUUGACAUAUAUUCAGUUCCUUUUUUUAUAAAGAGAGCUCCCUCUCCGAUUUUCAUUAGAGGAAAUCACCGUGUCUUACCUAUAUUCAGUUCCUGGAAGAACAAAGAAGUUGCAUGUCCUUUUAGUCUGAAAAUCACAUUGAUCCUUGGAGCAUGAUGGGGACAAAUCGCACAUAUGUCCUGUACUGCACACACGUGAAGGCAAAGGAUUUUUCUGAAUGCCAUUGUUGUCCGGUACACAGUGUUUAUCAGUGAGUAAUUUGCCCCUUUCGCAAUGUGAUGAUACUGGCAAUAAGGGAAGCAUCAUAUACCAUUGGUUUUGCUGAACUAGAAAUAACACAACUACAUAUUGAUUUUCUGCUUAAAUUUCACAAUAGAUAUUUUGCCGGAUGACCCACUGUAUGAGGAUGCCACAUCCUUUCUUGCUCACCCAACACACGGCAUUCCUUACAGUAGAGGUACCACACGGGGUGGUGACUGGGAGGCUGGUACAUGCUAGCACGGCCAAACAGCUGGUUCACUGCGAUCAGGGUGCUAGAGGCUCUUGGGGUUGCAGCUCGCUCGCCUGCUGGAGGUACAAUGUUGAUUAUUUAGAGACCUCAUCUUCAUGAGACUAGCAAGGGAUGGACAUUCUGAAGAAGAAGAGAUGAGGUGAGUUUCUGAAGUUCACCGUCCAAUCCAAGUAUUAAAGGUGAGCAUUACUAUUCAAAGGGACAUAAUUAACCUGUUAAAUUAUUCUUAGAGCAAGGAACCAGUUAUUAUCUAACCGAAUAACUGUAAACUAGCUUCUUUUUCUAAAAUGAGGUGUUGUCUUUAAAUAGAUAUGGACCGGAGAGGGGGCUUGAGAAAUGCUAAUUAGGCUAGAGGCGUAUGAUAUUUUUUUCUCCCGUUGCAAUGCACGGGCAUGUUUGCUAUAAUAAUAAAGCAUCCAGUGGAGGGGUUUAGAAAAAUAGAAACGGUUCUAUUUGAUAUGUAAUUUAGAAAUUAAUGGCUGGAGGAUCCUAAACUAACAUAUGGCAUUUUGUUUCAAUUUCUCUUUACCUGAUUGUGUUACUUAUGCACAAUCACCAUACUUGACAUAGGUCCCUGCACUUCCGUUGACGAGUAUUUUGUCAGCAUCUCGAUGCGGAGGUACAACUUUAGCUGAUCUUCGUCAUGUUUUACAUUGUUUCUCAGUACUUUUUACUGCAAUGUGGAGGUCAGAUUCUAGCUGAUAUAUCUUCAUGCUUUACCUUGUUUACCAAUGUCCCAAUGUGGACGUAAAGAUUCUAGCUGAUAUAUCUUCAUGUUUUACCUUGUUUACCAAUGUCCCAAAAUUUUGUUUCGUCUUUGCUUUGAAUUAAUUUUCCUUACUUUGACUGAGUAGGACAUUUAUUUGAAAUACUAAAUUGUGGUGUCGCUACCUCUAAGGACCACAGUGUUGUAGCGCCCUUGUCACAAGGUGACCAUCUUCAGCGCAUCGUGGUGUCGCUGCCCACACGAUCUCUACAGACACCACAAAAGGCUACAGGACCGACAAGGCCGGUGGCCUGACCACUGAAUCACGUUGUUGUGCGGGCGCCUUAAUCUCGCAUGCGGCCGUCUAAAGCCCCAGGGGCCAACCUCGCUCGAGCGUCGCCGACAGGCUCUCUUUUGCACAGGAGAAAAUGGUUGGAUAUAUGUGCCUCCUCCGUCUCUUAUUCCCUGAAAUGUAAUUUGAUGACUCAUUGAUGUCACACUCGCUUAGGAUUAAACUGCACAGGUUAGAUUGACAUUUUGCCCUGUGUUUAAUUAUUACAUGCACUGCACGCUAAUCCAUGUAUAUAUUGGCUCCCCUAUAUAUA